GAUGAUCGCUGGCGGCGUGCCUAAUACAUGCAAGUCGAGCGAACGGACGAGAAGCUUGCUUCUCUGAUGUUAGCGGCGGACGGGUGAGUAACACGUGGAUAACCUACCUAUAAGACUGGGAUAACUUCGGGAAACCGGAGCUAAUACCGGAUAAUAUUUUGAACCGCAUGGUUCAAAAGUGAAAGACGGUCUUGCUGUCACUUAUAGAUGGAUCCGCGCUGCAUUAGCUAGUUGGUAAGGUAACGGCUUACCAAGGCAACGAUGCAUAGCCGACCUGAGAGGGUGAUCGGCCACACUGGAACUGAGACACGGUCCAGACUCCUACGGGAGGCAGCAGUAGGGAAUCUUCCGCAAAGGGCGAAAGCCUGACGGAGCAACGCCGCGUGAGUGAUGAAGGUCUUCGGAUCGUAAAACUCUGUUAUUAGGGAAGAACAUAUGUGUAAGUAACUGUGCACAUCUUGACGGUACCUAAUCAGAAAGCCACGGCUAACUACGUG
RNAcentral lists this ribosomal RNA (497 nucleotides) under uncultured bacterium. Its description in RNAcentral is "partial 16S ribosomal RNA". It matches the Rfam family "Bacterial small subunit ribosomal RNA", at positions 28 to 507 of the family's 1533-position model. The record is from RNAcentral.